This 68-nucleotide transfer RNA is filed under the name Marmota monax (woodchuck). RNAcentral's name for it is "tRNA.Ala". The record is from RNAcentral. Lineage: Eukaryota; Metazoa; Chordata; Mammalia; Rodentia; Sciuridae.
GGCUUGUGGCUCAGGGGUAGAGCACUCGCCUAGCAUGCAUGAGGUACUGGGUUCUAUCCUCAGCACCA